This is a long non-coding RNA of Gasterosteus aculeatus aculeatus (three-spined stickleback), 1120 nucleotides long. NCBI's taxonomy places the organism in Eukaryota, Metazoa, Chordata, Actinopteri, Perciformes, Gasterosteidae. The record is from Ensembl.
CACACACACACACACAACUUUUACAUUACAGGUCAUUUAGCUGACGCUUUAAUCCAAAGCGACUUACUUUGCAUUUUUAACCCAUGGCUUUUUAAAAACAUUUUUGUUGCAUUCACGCCAGAAAUGGACUCUUAUAACGUCUGUGAUUGUGCCUCACAGUUUUACAAUCAGCCCGAGGAAGAGGAAGAGGAAGAGGAAAACACUGGACUGAGCCUUUUGCAGACUGUACACUAAAGGAGAAAUGCCCCAGAGGAAUGUAACGUCCAUUGCACGAGAGGGAGAGAAACAAGAUGAGGCAGGCCGAUGGUAGAAAGAUAGAAUAUCUCCUGAAGAAGAGCAGUUGUACUAUUCUACAACAGCACUGUAUGUGCAGUACAGCUACAAUGUUAACCUUGUGUACAACAGUAUAUGUUAUAUCAAUACGGCCUUCAUUUAAAAAAAGGUUAGAAUUCAGAAGAAUCACUUGGUUUCACUUUAAAUAACAGUUACAAGCAGCGAUUUGAGAAGACUCAAACAUGAAGCUACCAGGAGCCCCAUUAUCCUGCAGUGCUGUCAUGUUAGUACAAGACACUUUCUAUAAGCAUUCUCACAGCUGCAAAUAAACAGGUGAGCGUCACGUCUUUCCCGAGUCACAGUGGCGCAGUGGAAGGCGGAAUACACAAAAGCACCUGAAGCGAGGCGAGUCACACCAUGAAGCGGAAAGAACGUGAUGACAAACUGCUGCUGGAACCUCACCAACUAAUCUGAGAAGGAACAUUUCUGAGGGUUUUCAGUAGUAUCAGUACACUACAAUGGACAGACACACACACGCGCACGCAGACACACACACCCAGCAGGCGAAUAAUGAAGAAGGUAUGUGUGAGGUCGACUGAAGGCUACUUAUAUUCACACGCACUUAACGUGACACUCGUUUUAGGUUUUGACAGGUAGAAAUAUGUCAGAUUAUGAGAUAAUCGACUCGACUUGCUUGUCGUGUUUUUGUCUCUUUUGUUCCACAAAGAGGACCCUGACGUCUUGUGGCUUCAGAUCCAGUUUAUUUUAUUUGCCAUUUAAUAAGACAUCUAAUAGUUAUGAGUCAGCCCCAUAGUUGAGUAACGUGUGUGAAGGUGUGUGUCUGCGC